Long non-coding RNA from Asparagus officinalis (garden asparagus), 748 nucleotides. RefSeq lists it as uncharacterized. The transcript is spliced from 2 exons. The record is from RefSeq and is a predicted model, not a curated record. NCBI's taxonomy places the organism in Eukaryota, Viridiplantae, Streptophyta, Magnoliopsida, Asparagales, Asparagaceae.
UAGGAAAUAACCAAACAAGGCCCUCAGUGUAAAACCCACAAAACCCACCGCCCGCAAUUUCCCAAUCUCCUCUGCGUUCCCUCUCCUCUUUCAAUUUCUCUACAACUACCCCAAUUUGUGUGAAAAUCUGAGCCCUAAUUGUUGCCACAACCGCCGCCGUCUCCUGACCUACGCUCGAAUCGAGCUGUGACGCCUUCCUGCACUCAAUCGCCGCCGUUGCUUGACCUUCGCUCGACUCCAGCGGCGGCGCCAACUGGCGCCGUCAACUAACGGUUUUCUUCCUUCGGUGUUAUUGGAUAUUUCACCCCUGGAGGUAUGUCUCAGGACCUAGCGUGCAGAGUAAAAGACCAAAAACACAAAUCCAACCAUGAUUAUACUUUUUUAAACUAAUUUGUCAGGUUGGUUUUGAAUGUUCUCACUUUUAUUAGCAUAUCAUGAGAUAAUUUUAUUAGUUUGUUAUAACUUUCAUUGAUACAAUACUAAAAUUGCCUCAUGUUUUAAUUUGUUUGCAGUGAAGCUAUGGACUAUGGAGGUAGUCAGAAUUUUGUCCAAUGUGGUCUCCUUUCGGGGCCUAAUUCACAAUCAUAUUUCGUCCACUUUGUCAGAGGAUCAUCGGAUAGCCCUUCGAGGUGCCCGUUCUAUGGAUAUAUUGAUGUUCUUGAUGUUCCAAUCCAGUCAUUUCUAGUUGAUUGCUUGUUGGAAGUUUUUGAUAUUGAAAAAAGCAAUUUCAAAUUUGGAGGAAAGUGGA